GCCUUUGAGAAGUGUUUUCAUUGGGGUUUUUUAUGAUUAUAACUUGCUAAUUAGUUUAAUUAAAGAAUGUUAAGCCACCUAAAAUGGCUGAGAUUUAGCGAAACACUCAUCAAAUCUCAGCAACUUAUACAACAGAUAUAGACAAGUAUUUUGGUGGCGAGAUCAUUCAUCUACUUUCAGUGAAUUCACAUUGAGAUGACAUGUUAAAAUUAGUGAAUUUUGCUUACGUAUACGAGUAAAGUAAGAUCUCAGCUGAGAAACUCAUGCUAACACAAAAACUGCCUAACAAAAUUGUACCAAACUUUCACAUAUUAGAGUAUAAAUGCUCAGAAUGAUUUUAAAAGUGAAACAAACUGUUUAGUAACAAUAGUCAGCCUUUGAGAAGUGUUUUCAUUGGGUUUUUGAUGAUUAACUUGCUAGUUGGUUUAGUAAAACAAUGUCAAGCCACCUUAAAUGGCUGAGAUUUAGUCAAACACUCAUGAAAUCUCAGCAACUUAUACAACAGGUAUACACAAGUAUUUUGGUGGCGAGAUCUUUGAUCUACUUUCAGUGAAACCAAAUUUACAUUGAGAUGACAUGUUAAAAU
Molecule: non-coding RNA, 586 nt
Organism: Paramuricea clavata
Lineage: Eukaryota; Metazoa; Cnidaria; Anthozoa; Malacalcyonacea; Plexauridae
Source: the annotation of a GenBank genome assembly